Molecule: ribosomal RNA, 355 nt
Filed under: uncultured bacterium
Lineage: Bacteria
Description: bacterial SSU rRNA
Rfam family: Bacterial small subunit ribosomal RNA
Source: RNAcentral
AAGGUGGAUAUGUUAAUAGCAUACUCAUUUUGACGUUUAGCUGCAGAAGAAGCACCGGCUAACUCCGUGCCAGCAGCCGCGGUAAUACGGAGGGUGCGAGCGUUUAAUCGGAAUUACUGGGCGUAAAGCGCAUGCAGGUGGUUUGUUAAGUCAGAUGUGAAAGCCCGGGGCUCAACCUCGGAAUUGCAUUUGAAACUGGCAAACUAGAGUACUGUAGAGGGGGUAGAAUUUCAGGUGUAGCGGUGAAAUGCGUAGAGAUCUGAAGGAAUACCGGUGGCGAAGGCGGCCCCCUGGACAGAUACUGACACUCAGAUGCGAAAGCGUGGGGAGCAAACAGGAUUAGAUACCCUGGUAG